ACACACCGUUGUCCCCAGCUCCACCCCAGAACAGCCCAAAUUCCCCAGAUUGCUGUGAAGAGAGUCAGCCUGUGCUCAGAGGCAUUGAGCAAUGUGGAGCCUCCCAGGGUCCCUGCCCCUGCACCCGAAAACAGCCAAGAGGCCUGAGCAUCCGGGCUCAGAUCGGAAGGCGUUUCAGGGAGGACGGCUCUUUCCUUUUGGUCAGGUGCCUCAGCGUGGAUUCCCAGGACUUUAUAAGAUGAUGCACUGAAGGAUUUCAGCAAGAAAAUUCUGGAGUGUCAACUGAUACGUUUUUCAGUCUCACCUUGCUCACUGUUUGAGUAUUGUCACAUACACAUGCGUAUUAUUAGAGGGAAACUAGCAGCUUUGUAAGAAGAGGAAGGGAGACCUGAGCCCUCUCACCACGGGUUGCCCUGCACCACCACAGGACUCUGCAGAGAGUCCCCGCCAGCAAGAGGAUCUUCACCAGAUGUGGCCUCUUGACCUGAGACUUCUCAGCCUCCAU
Cercocebus atys (sooty mangabey) is the source of this 505-nucleotide long non-coding RNA. RefSeq lists it as uncharacterized. Lineage: Eukaryota; Metazoa; Chordata; Mammalia; Primates; Cercopithecidae. The transcript is spliced from 3 exons. The record is from RefSeq and is a predicted model, not a curated record.